Molecule: small nuclear RNA, 107 nt
Organism: Macaca nemestrina (pig-tailed macaque)
Lineage: Eukaryota; Metazoa; Chordata; Mammalia; Primates; Cercopithecidae
Source: Ensembl
AAAACCUAUUGAAGUAUUUUUUUUAAAAAAAAGAAACAAUAUAGAGAAGAUUAGUAUGGCUCCUGUGCAAGGAUGACAUGCAAAUUUGUGAAAUGUUCCAUUAAAAU